Molecule: long non-coding RNA, 1106 nt
Filed under: Podarcis muralis (Common wall lizard)
Lineage: Eukaryota; Metazoa; Chordata; Lepidosauria; Squamata; Lacertidae
Description: lncRNA (ENSPMRG00000008545.1)
Source: RNAcentral
UGUAAGACAUAUCCCAUUUAUUUUGAAUGCCCUCAAUUGUAUUUUUGCAUCUCUUUCAUUUUUUAUGAAUGCCCACCCCCUCCACCUUCAGAGACAUACUUCACAAGUAAAAUAGCUAAUACAGUUUCUCCAUAUAUACUUAUUCCAGAACCCAAUCAACAUGUAAUAUAUCUGUAUGGGCCCCAGUUGUCCUGUCAGAUGCGUCCUCUCCAGAGGAAAGUAAAGUGCCUUUUGAAUCAGAAACUCUGGAGGACUCCAUGGCUGCAUUUCAGCACACAGACCAGAUAUCUGAAGCCAGUGCAACUACUCUGAAUUAAUUGGUUUGGAAAUUGGAGCCUAAGAGAACCCAGACCAACAGGGGGUGAAGUGGAAUGGAGAGGCGAUAAAGGCAAAAACACAUCUCUCCCACAGUGACCCUUAUAUGGGGUUGAUGAACGAGGGCAUCAAUCUGUGCCAUCUAUUCUGAAUUAUACAGAAAAUGUGAGUGAAUUAAAAGAGAAGGUCAAAUGAAAAACCAUUUAAUCCUACUGGGCCAUAUCCUGUCCUUGUUGAGUGCCUGAACUCCUACUGACUCCUGGUACUUUAUAUGCAAAAAAAGGAUUUUUAGUCUUUACAUUUCUCAUGUCCUCUCUCUCUCUCUCUCUCUCUCUCUGUGUGUGUGUGUGUGUGUUGCUUUUUUAAGGGUUAAGUUUUCUGCAAUAAACUUGAGGAGAACGCAAGAAAAGGAUCAUUUCCAGCUUCCCUGAGAUUUAAGAGACAAAGUAUAAAUAGUAUCUCUCUCGUCAUAAUAACACACUAGUUCAACUGUUCUGAAACAUUCUAAAGAUAUCAGUAACAAUAUAAAGAUCUCACUAACAGUAGCCUUCCUUUAUGUUGAAGAAAAGAUAAAGAGAUGAAUCCUGGCAGCCUUUGCAACAAACUUACAAAUGUAAAAGGCGGAGAAAGCAAGGAUUUAGCAACAACUAACCCCAAGCCAGUUUUUAGAGAUACAAGUUCCAGACAUUAGUCAGGGACCUUGACAGUCUCCUGGCUUCUCCACGAGGCAUCCAUCCUAUCUCAGAGGCCCCAUCACGAUUGCACGGGAGUUAGACAUGCAUGAAAAGUUG